This 223-nucleotide long non-coding RNA is filed under the name Homo sapiens (human). Its description in RNAcentral is "HSALNT0405200". Lineage: Eukaryota; Metazoa; Chordata; Mammalia; Primates; Hominidae. The record is from RNAcentral.
UGGGAGGCCGAGGUGGGCGGACCACAAGGUCAGGAGAUCGAGACCAUCCUAGCUAACACGGUGAAACCCCGUCUCUACUAAAAAUACAAAAAAUUAGCCAGGCGUGGUGGCGGGCGCCUGUAGUCCCAGCUACUUGGGAGGCUGAGGCAGGAGAAUGGCGUGAACCCGGGAGGUGGAGGUUGCAGUGAGCCGAGAUUGUGCCAUUGCACUCCAGCCUGGGCGA